GAGGAAAGCAGGGGAUCGCAAGACCUUGCGCUUUUGGAGCGGCCGAUGUCUGAUUAGCUAGUUGGUGAGGUAAAGGCUUACCAAGGCGUCGAUCAGUAGCUGGUCUGAGAGGACGACCAGCCACACUGGGACUGAGACACGGCCCAGACUCCUACGGGAGGCAGCAGUGGGGAAUUUUGGACAAUGGGGGAAACCCUGAUCCAGCCAUGCCGCGUGAGUGAAGAAGGCCUUCGGGUUGUAAAGCUCUUUCAGCCGGAACGAAACGGUCACGGUUAAUACCCGUGACUACUGACGGUACCGGAAGAAGAAGCACCGGCUAACUACGUGCCAGCAGCCGCGGUAAUACGUAGGGUGCAAGCGUUAAUCGGAAUUACUGGGCGUAAAGCGUGCGCAGGCGGUUUUGUAAGUCAGAUGUGAAAUCCCCGGGCU
Molecule: ribosomal RNA, 429 nt
Filed under: uncultured Nitrosospira sp.
Lineage: Bacteria; Pseudomonadati; Pseudomonadota; Betaproteobacteria; Nitrosomonadales; Nitrosomonadaceae
Description: bacterial SSU rRNA
Rfam family: Bacterial small subunit ribosomal RNA
Source: RNAcentral